GACGAACGCUGGCGGCGUGCUUAACACAUGCAAGUCGAACGGAAAGGCCCUGCUUUUGUGGGGUGCUCGAGUGGCGAACGGGUGAGUAACACGUGAGUAACCUGCCCUUGACUUUGGGAUAACUUCAGGAAACUGGGGCUAAUACCGGAUAGGAGCUCCUGCUGCAUGGUGGGGGUUGGAAAGUUUCGGCGGUUGGGGAUGGACUCGCGGCUUAUCAGCUUGUUGGUGGGGUAGUGGCUUACCAAGGCUUUGACGGGUAGCCGGCCUGAGAGGGUGACCGGCCACAUUGGGACUGAGAUACGGCCCAGACUCCUACGGGAGGCAGCAGUGGGAAUAUUGCACAAUGGGCGGAAGCCUGAUGCAGCAACGCCGCGUGCGGGAUGACGGCCUUCGGGUUGCAAACCGCCUUCGCCUGUGACGAAGCGUGAGUGACGGUAAUGGGUAAAGAAGCACCGGCUAACUACGUG
RNAcentral lists this ribosomal RNA (467 nucleotides) under uncultured bacterium. Its description in RNAcentral is "partial 16S ribosomal RNA". It matches the Rfam family "Bacterial small subunit ribosomal RNA", at positions 28 to 507 of the family's 1533-position model. The record is from RNAcentral.